RNAcentral lists this long non-coding RNA (784 nucleotides) under Olea europaea subsp. europaea. Lineage: Eukaryota; Viridiplantae; Streptophyta; Magnoliopsida; Lamiales; Oleaceae. The record is from RNAcentral.
CCCACACAUGGCAUGCUAGUAUGAACAUUUAAAAAUGAUAAGCCAAUUUAUUGAGCGGACCAAAUCUGCAGAUCUAUAAAUAAGUAGAUACGAACUUAUUGCUUGGGGCCACCACUUUUUACCCUAAAGUUUUCAGCAAUUGCAAUAGCCAAAGAAACAACAUUCAACACACAAACACUCAAGGGCAAAAUCGUCCAGAACUAUAAUAUUGCGUAAAACUAAAAACGAGCACCACCACAAGUUUCAUGGAACUGCUAAGAACAGACUGUCUUCAUAGAGUCUUGCUGAAAAUUACUUCACGUAUCAUCACUCGUGGCCUUCUCUUUUGUGCGUGGUGCUCAUACAUCAUCAUAUCGACAUUGCCACAUGCCUUACGUGCCACUUUGAUGGCUGCGUCUCACCAUCUAGAGUUGGUAUAUAUUCUUGGUUUCUCCACCAGGCACUUGGAUUGGCUGAAAUAUUCAAUAACAGCCACGAUCAGAAAAAAAAUUUCAACAAUUUUCGACACAACUUUUCACCGACUUUCUUCUUCUUUUCAACCUCUUUUUGCACAAACUAAACACUAUUAUUACACAUCUAACAACUCUGAUACCAUUUGACGUAGAAGUACUUCGAUUUGUGCACAAAUCAGGCUUAGUUACAAUAAUACAAUCGAUCAAACACCAACAAAAGAUUGUUUGAAUCCACAACUAUAUUUUUUGAUUGCCCAUUUCCUUGCACCGACGAAGGACACAAAUCUGAUGUUUAAUUGCAGUGAUAAAGGAGGAAGAAUUUAUCAUUAAAU